This 450-nucleotide ribosomal RNA is filed under the name uncultured bacterium. RNAcentral's name for it is "bacterial SSU rRNA". It matches the Rfam family "Bacterial small subunit ribosomal RNA", at positions 354 to 796 of the family's 1533-position model. The record is from RNAcentral.
GUGGGGAAUAUUGGACAAUGGGCGAAAGCCUGAUCCAGCCAUGCCGCGUGUGUGAAGAAGGUCUUCGGAUUGUAAAGCACUUUAAGUUGGGAGGAAGGGCAGUAAGUUAAUACCUUGCUGUUUUGACGUUACCGACAGAAUAAGCACCGGCUAACUUCGUGCCAGCAGCCGCGGUAAUACGAAGGGUGCAAGCGUUAAUCGGAAUUACUGGGCGUAAAGCGCGCGUAGGUGGUUCAGUAAGUUGGAAGUGAAAUCCCCGGGCUCAACCUGGGAACUGCCUCCAAAACUGCAUGACUAGAGUACGGUAGAGGGUAGUGGAAUUUCCUGUGUAGCGGUGAAAUGCGUAGAUAUAGGAAGGAACACCAGUGGCGAAGGCGACUACCUGGACUGAUACUGACACUGAGGUGCGAAAGCGUGGGGAGCAAACAGGAUUAGAAACCCGUGUAGUCC